RNAcentral lists this ribosomal RNA (253 nucleotides) under uncultured bacterium. RNAcentral describes it as "partial 16S ribosomal RNA". It matches the Rfam family "Bacterial small subunit ribosomal RNA", at positions 524 to 776 of the family's 1533-position model. The record is from RNAcentral.
GACGUAGGGCGCGAGCGUUGUCCGGAUUUAUUGGGCGUAAAGAGCUCGUAGGCGGCUUGUUGCGUCGACCGUGAAAACCCGGGGCUCAACUUCGGGCUUGCGGUCGAUACGGGCGGGCUAGAGUUCGGUAGGGGAGACUGGAAUUCCUGGUGUAGCGGUGAAAUGCGCAGACAUCAGGAGGAACACCGGUGGCGAAGGCGGGUCUCUGGGCCGAUACUGACGCUGAGGAGCGAAAGCGUGGGGAGCGAACAGG